CUAUACAUGCAGUCGAGCGGACAGAUGGGAGCUUGCUCCCUGAUGUUAGCGGCGGACGGGUGAGUAACACGUGGGUAACCUGCCUGUAAGACUGGGAUAACUCCGGGAAACCGGGGCUAAUACCGGAUGGUUGUUUGAACCGCAUGGUUCAAACAUAAAAGGUGGCUUCGGCUACCACUUACAGAUGGACCCGCGGCGCAUUAGCUAGUUGGUGAGGUAACGGCUCACCAAGGCAACGAUGCGUAGCCGACCUGAGAGGGUGAUCGGCCACACUGGGACUGAGACACGGCCCAGACUCCUACGGGAGGCAGCAGUAGGGAAUCUUCCGCAAUGGACGAAAGUCUGACGGAGCAACGCCGCGUGAGUGAUGAAGGUUUUCGGAUCGUAAAGCUCUGUUGUUAGGGAAGAACAAGUACCGUUCGAAUAGGGCGGUACCUUGACGGUACCUAACCAGAAAGCCACGGCUAACUACGUGCCAGCAGCCGCGGUAAUACGUAGGUGGCAAGCGUUGUCCGGAAUUAUUGGGCGUAAAGGGCUCGCAGGCGGUUUCUUAAGUCUGAUGUGAAAGCCCCCGGCUCAACCGGGGAGGGUCAUUGGAAACUGGGGAACUUGAGUGCAGAAGAGGAGAGUGGAAUUCCACGUGUAGCGGUGAAAUGCGUAGAGAUGUGGAGGAACACCAGUGGCGAAGGCGACUCUCUGGUCUGUAACUGACGCUGAGGAGCGAAAGCGUGGGGAGCGAACAGGAUUAGAUACCCUGGUAGUCCACGCCGUAAACGAUGAGUGCUAAGUGUUAGGGGGUUUCCGCCCCUUAGUGCUGCAGCUAACGCAUUAAGCACUCCGCCUGGGGAGUACGGUCGCCAGAUGAAACCUCAAAGAAAUUGACGGGGGCCCGCACAACCGGGGGAGCAGGUGUUUUA
Molecule: ribosomal RNA, 917 nt
Filed under: uncultured Caryophanales bacterium
Lineage: Bacteria; Bacillati; Bacillota; Bacilli; Caryophanales
Description: bacterial SSU rRNA
Rfam family: Bacterial small subunit ribosomal RNA
Source: RNAcentral